This is a non-coding RNA of Rhipicephalus microplus (southern cattle tick), 74 nucleotides long. NCBI's taxonomy places the organism in Eukaryota, Metazoa, Arthropoda, Arachnida, Ixodida, Ixodidae. The record is from the annotation of a RefSeq genome assembly.
AGCUCCGUGGCUUAGUUGGUCAAGGCGCCCGUCUACUAAACAGGAGAUCGUGAGUUCAAUUCUCACCGGUGCCU